UUACCACAGUAUUUCAAUGUUGUUACAACAUUGGCAUUUCAACCCCGACCAUAUACGACGGUUCGGAUGAAAAAUCAACAUAGAUUCAAUGUCGUCUUGCUAUCUGGGGUUUUAUCUCCUAAGCUGAGAUGUGCACACUUGAAUGUCCAGUUUAGGAGUAACCCCUCUCUUAUCUUUGGCUGUUUUGGGGCAGAAAACCCAUCGAGUCUGACUGAGCCUGGAGGAGCACAGUCCUCGAUACGAAGCGUAGCUGCCGGCAGACACGGCAGAUCAGCUUGAUAUCAGCUCAUUUCAGUUUAACUUGGCUACAAACAGAACUUGAGCUCUGGCAGGUGGACAGCUUUUCACCCACUAAACGCUGACACUUUGUUCAGCACAGAGUGAGUAUAAAAAAGGAAAACAACCUUUGCAUCAUCCAAACAGGGGAAGGGUAAAACUGCGCACCUCGGCGAGCUUAAAAGACACUGACCUGUUUAUCGUCUCUGCUCGGCCACUGACCUUUUUCAUUCAGUGUCAACUCCUCGCCAAAGUUAAACAUGGCAGGAAAGCAAGAAAUACUAAAGCUGUGUCUUUUAUGUAGAGAUUCUGCUGUGGAGGACCAAAACUGCCAAAAAUAUUCACAGAAAUAAAAGAAAUUUAUUUUGAAAACAUGUCAUUCACAUAAAGAAGCAGAUCCACAUGACAUAUUUAGGAAAGGAGAAACAUUUAGGAUUUUUUGGAAACACAUUAAGGGGGAGAGGGUUGGUAAAUAACUGGUGAUUAAUAAGUUAAAAAAUAUAAUGUAAAAUUAAAUAAAAAAAUACAGAGACUGAUGGAACGGUAAGCACAUGGACAGGUGAGUUAAAGAAGUAAUAACUCCUGCAAGAUUUAAAUGAAUUGACAAAAUACCUGUUUGUUAUUGAUUUUAGAACAUAUUUAUUUAUUCACUAACAUUUGCAUUUUAUAUCAGUUUUGGUUUUCUGUAUAUUGUCCCCUCUCUUAUCACCAGAGGAACUUUGACUCCGAUGAUCAGCAUCCAUUCUUGUCCAGAUUUCUUUGGUUUCCGUCCGUAUUCUGAUGUUUUAACAGUUAAACGGUGUAGAAGAAUUUUCUGAUCUCUUGUUUCUGUGAGGUCAUUCACAGUGAAGUCUUUUUUAAAAAUGCAACGAUGGAGCAUCUGCAGACUUGCAGACGCUGUUUUCUAUUAUUAGAAGAAAAACCUUGCAUAGAUCGCAUUCCAGCUCCUUCUUUAGACUGAAGAUAACAGAGGUGAGUUUGCCUUAUUAGGAUCGACGUGUAGAAUGAGAGUUUGGAGACCUUCAGUGGAUGCACAUGACGCCAACCGUUCAUAUAAUGUUUAGUUUAAGUCUUGCAUCACAUUUUGCACAUUGGGAUUGUUGACAGUUCAGUUACAUCCAGAUUAGUUCAUUCAUGGCAGCCGGCUGCUGUGAUUGAAUGACUAUCACUGAAAUGAAUCUGGUUAGCGAUUGCUCAGCUCAGUCAAGUGUUACCAAAUAAAAAGCUUUUAUUGUCCAGAAAGGCAGAAUAUAUGGAAAAGAUUCACAGCAACAGCCUGUGGAUCUUUGGAUUUCUACAGAUUUUUAUGAUCAGGGUUUAUUGUUAAAGCAUCUGAUGAAUGGGGCCAGUUAUAUAUUUAGUAUUUCAUCAUUCUUGGCUCUGAAAAUCCUUCUAAUUGCUGUUAUUUAAUUAUAAUUAUGCAUUGAUUUUCUUCGAGUUCUCCCUGCAGGUUUUCUUAACGAGCUGCAGGUGAGCUGCUUCAUUAGCUGUGCUUGUGAAUGAGUCAUUUCUGGCAGCAGCUUCCAGCCACUUGCUUUAAAUGUCAGCCUGAAAUAUCUGCAGCACGCUUGGGUUGCUCCUGGCCAGCAGUGAGCGUUUCCCUUCAUGAUCCUCACCCAGUUCAUUUAGGACCUAGACAGGUGACACAGCUGCUGAUGAACAAACUGAACAAAAGACAUGAAGCUGGAGACACCAGUACCCAUGGUGACCAUGGAUGGAUGGGCCAGAGCAGGCGACGCUGAAGGACAUUUUAAAUUGAUGGUUACGGGUAAACUAACCCGAGUCACGUCUCCAGACGUGCAUCCAUGCAUGCACGUACAGAACAAACUACCGAAACCACUUCAACCCACAGAGCAAACAUGCAAACCCUGCACAGAGUGGCUCCGAUUCACCACGAGACUGGAACCCACAACCUUCUUACUGUGCUCCAGUGCCAGUUCAUGUCAGGUUACAUAUCAGAGUAACUGAAACGAAUCUCUUCACCAUGUCUGUCAACAGAUGUUGGAGCAUUUUCAGUUACCUAAUAAAUAACAUGUCUUGCUGUGGGGUUCAGUGUCCCAGCAGUCUUCUGCAAAAUGAGUACGUUACACAUUCUUAUCCCGUGAAGUCGGACACUGUUCAGUGCUGCUGGUGUCUCGGUGAUACGAUGAGUUUAUAUAAUUAAGUGCAGGAAAACAGACAAAACUAUAGAGGGGGGAGAAAAUGAAUGGAUGGCACAGAGUAAACCACAGGUUUAUCAGCCACGUCCUGUUUUUGGUUUUAACCCCCUGAUAUUUACCGUUUUGUGGCACUUCUUGUGUGGUUUCUCUGUGGGUAGCACCAACAUUGCUUGGCUGGGUUGAGCUAAAAUGAGGUUACAAUGUGAUUGGGUUAUUGGAGUUAUUGGUAAUUUUAGCAUCACUCUUAGUGUCCGUCACCAUAUUCCUUUCACUCCCAACACUCAAGUAACGAUUUACUGAUAUGACGCAUGCAGUGUCUUUAAAAAGCCGCAUUACAACCUGAGACAGCCUGUCAGGUAGCAUCAAAGCUAGCUCAGAAUUCAUGCUAUAAUUGGCAACAGUGCUCAAGUUUUUGGCCUUGCUCUGAUUUAAGACCUGCUAACUCUCUUGUUUCUUUCUCAUCACCGUAACAAAUGCAGCCCCUCAAAGAGGUAAGGUGUCAUCAUUUCAUGGCAAUAUUACAAACAACCCCGACCCCCCGCCCACGAGAAAUUAUCAGUAUCUUAGUAUCUGAUGCAAGAGGGGAGCUAUCUUACUCACCCCUCUUGUAAACAAUAUCUAUGCCAAAUAUCCGGCAGUGAGCAUAACUCGGACUGCAGACUCUGAGGGCAGGGGUGGAAUGAAUGAAGGUAGACAGGCUUUUAAAAGGCAGAGGUCAUGGCAGUGUGUCAGCUAGCCUCUGCUGACCGGGGGGUCUUUUAUAUUACAGACAAGUUUGAA
Molecule: long non-coding RNA, 3215 nt
Organism: Oreochromis niloticus (Nile tilapia)
Lineage: Eukaryota; Metazoa; Chordata; Actinopteri; Cichliformes; Cichlidae
Exons: 3
Source: RefSeq, a predicted model, not a curated record